AGCACAGAUGAUGAUUGUGAGGGACUUAAUGCUGAAAUAUGAUGUUUUUUUUUGAGCAAUACUGAUGUGC
RNAcentral lists this small nucleolar RNA (70 nucleotides) under Callipepla squamata (scaled quail). RNAcentral describes it as "Small nucleolar RNA SNORD82". It matches the Rfam family "Small nucleolar RNA SNORD82". From Rfam's summary of the family: snoRNA U82 or Z25 is found in both humans and mice. U82/Z25 is a member of the C/D class of snoRNA which contain C (UGAUGA) and D (CUGA) box motifs. The record is from Rfam by way of RNAcentral. Lineage: Eukaryota; Metazoa; Chordata; Aves; Galliformes; Odontophoridae.